UGGGGAAUAUUGGACAAUGGGCGCAAGCCUGAUCCAGCAAUGCCGCGUGUGUGAAGAAGGCCCUUCGGGUUGUAAAGCACUUUUAUCAGGAGCGAAACGCUGUCGGCUAAUACCCGGCGGAACCUGACGGUACCUGAGGAAUAAGCACCGGCUAACUUCGUGCCAGCAGCCGCGGUAAUACGAAGGGUGCAAGCGUUAAUCGGAAUUACUGGGCGUAAAGCGUGCGUAGGCGGUUUCUUAAGUCUGCUGUGAAAUUCCCCGGGCUCAACCUGGGAAUGGCAGUGGAUACUGGGAGGCUAGAGUGUGUCAGAGGGUGGUGGAAUUCCCGGUGUAGCGGUGAAAUGCGUAGAGAUCGGGAGGAACA
RNAcentral lists this ribosomal RNA (364 nucleotides) under uncultured bacterium. RNAcentral's name for it is "partial 16S ribosomal RNA". It matches the Rfam family "Bacterial small subunit ribosomal RNA", at positions 355 to 708 of the family's 1533-position model. The record is from RNAcentral.